UACAGAGGGGGCAAGCGUUGUUCGGAAUUAUUGGGCGUAAAGAGCUCGUAGGCGGUUUGUCGCGUCUGCCGUGAAAGUCCGGGGCUCAACUCCGGAUCUGCGGUGGGUACGGGCAGACUAGAGUGAUGUAGGGGGGACUGGAAUUCCUGGUGUAGCGGUGAAAUGCGCAGAUAUCAGGAGGAACACCGAUGGCGAAGGCAGGUCUCUGGGCCAUAACUGACGCUGAGAAGCGAAAGCAUGGGGAGCGAACAGG
Molecule: ribosomal RNA, 253 nt
Filed under: uncultured bacterium
Lineage: Bacteria
Description: partial 16S ribosomal RNA
Rfam family: Bacterial small subunit ribosomal RNA
Source: RNAcentral